GCCGGAGACCGCAGGUGGCGUCUUCCAAGGAGGGGCAGCAGGCGCGCACGUCAAGGGCCAGCGAGCAUCCUCACCUCUCCCUCCGUCAGGUGACGCCGUGUUCCAAUUAAUAAAUCAGCAGGUGGUCCCUGAAGGCGUAGAAGAGGACGUGCUUGAGCUCCUCCAGUGUGAUCCUCUGCAUGUCAAACUGCGGGCACACAUUCACAGAUGUAACUAUAGCUCCUUGAUGAACGUGGGAACGCUAGAGUGGACCCAGUGAGGACCUUGUCCUUGGGGAGGGUGAGGUCAGUGAGCUGAUUGUUGCUGUACUUAAUAAACUGGUUGCACCCCCACCCCGGCAACAUCCCAGCCAGGCUGAGGGGAGGAGCAGGUGGCCUCAGAUAAGAGGAAAAGUAUGAAACAUUUAUUUUCCUGUGGCACAGCGACUGUCCUCCAGCAGCCAGUGACCUUUACGCUGCAAGGUGGUGAUGGAGGGGCUCUCGGGGGCGGGGGGUGUGGGUGGGGCAGUCAGUGUGAAAAGAGGGAAUGACAUCACAAAAAAAAAAAACCAAAAAACAUUCUGGCCGUCAUUCACGGCAUCAGGAGUUCUCAUCUGGUGUGUGAAAAGCUGGCUGCCCGUGUCGGCUUUGGAGAACACGUGAUCUCUAUCUGGGAGGAAACAGUCCAUCACUCCGCCUUUUUUUCACCCAUCAGCAUCUCAGAGGUGCCUGGAAUAGGAUAAUUAUUUUCUACGGGAAAAUUUGACCUCGUUUUCGUCUGGUGUAUGAACAAAAACGACACUAAAUGACACUUAACUCCGCAGACCGUUUCGGACUCACCAUCGUUGAAUGUUGAGUCUCUGCAUGAUGAUGGCCAGCUCCACCUCGCUGGGCAUGUACCCCAAAGAACGCAUGGCCAUUCCCAGCUCCUGCUUGGAUAUGAAGCCGUUCCCAUCCCGAUCCAGAACCUUGAAGGCCUCCCGGAUCUCUGCCACACAAAUAGGAAGUCAACUCAGGACACGGGAGCAGAUUCUUCAGUGUUUAUAAUGAUUUCCUGCCAUGAUUGAGCGGUCUGUCGAGUAAAUAUUUCCACACACAGCAUUUCAUUCAUCUUAUAUAUCCGCCACCUCGCGAUGUAAUACGUUUUAUCAUUUAUACGGGUAUAAAUCAUCUUGGAAGAAUUUCAUUGGACAAAUCUAUACCGGUAUAACGUUACAUAAAAUAUAUCACCCAACCCUAGUUUAUACCACAUAGCCCAGUAACAGGAUCACAGAUGGCCAACGCUAGCAUAGCAAGCUACGGAGCUAGUAAGUAAGCCUUUCCCAUUUACUUAUUCUCAACUUAAGAAAGGGCCUCAAUCGGAGUGGGAAAGGAGAACAAAGAAGCUAAAGGUGUACCACUUCCACACAGAAUGAGAGGAGAACCUUUAUAGCCUAUUUGAUUUCAGCUCACUGCGACAUCACAGUGAGCCGGCGUUAGAAAAAAGAACACUUCCAAAUGCGCAAACCUCAUUAUCUGAAACUUUGGCAUGGUUUAACACGAGAAUACAACAUUGUAACUCCAUUUAUGUGUCAGAAAAGUCGAAAAGCAUCAUAGGUCCCCUUUAAGCCAAUACCGUCUAUAAAAAAAAUUCUGGGGUUUACAGCCUCGAGUGUCCAUUUUGUGAGCGGGAUGAUGUCAUCAUGCUGCGCAAAGGCUGUCCAAAUUGGAAAGUGCGGCCGCCAAAUGUACGUGCAAUAAGCCCCAUCUGUCCUUCACGAUCCUCCAUAUCCAUUCGCUUCCUUCCCGUGGUUUCACAUCACGU
Molecule: non-coding RNA, 1782 nt
Organism: Doryrhamphus excisus (bluestripe pipefish)
Lineage: Eukaryota; Metazoa; Chordata; Actinopteri; Syngnathiformes; Syngnathidae
Source: RefSeq, a predicted model, not a curated record